CACGUGGUACCUUCCAGAGGACUCCAAGAGCUUGACAACUGUUGGACAAAAGGCUCCAUCUAUACCCUGUCAGGUGUCUGGCUUGGCAAAGGAGUUGAGGAGAACCGGGGACUUCUGUUUAGGGCUACACCUCCGCCUCACUGUCACCCAGCUGGUUUCCCAGGAAGAGAAAUGCUGUCUAUGACCAACAGAACACCAUCCACAGUCAAGCACAGAGUUACAUUAUGCUUUAGGGCUAUUUUUCUGGUAAGGGUAAGGAUCUGGUGAGGAUGAUUUUAUCACAGUGAGAGGACAAUAGUUGGGGCCAUGUAUCAUGAAAUCUUGCAUAAGAAACUCCUUUCCUCAGCCAGAACACGGAAUGGAUUGUGAAUUGGUCUUCCAGCAUGAUAAUGAUCACUUACCAUCAAGGCAAUAAUGCAGUGGCUAAACAAGAAGCAUAUUAAGGAAUAGAGUGACCUAGAAAUUCUCCAGACCUUAAUCCUAUAGAAAAUCUUUGGUGGGAGCAAAAA
This is a long non-coding RNA of Oreochromis niloticus (Nile tilapia), 509 nucleotides long. RefSeq lists it as uncharacterized. The record is from RefSeq and is a predicted model, not a curated record. NCBI's taxonomy places the organism in Eukaryota, Metazoa, Chordata, Actinopteri, Cichliformes, Cichlidae. The transcript has 2 exons.